This 91-nucleotide non-coding RNA is filed under the name uncultured Pyramimonas. Lineage: Eukaryota; Viridiplantae; Chlorophyta; Pyramimonadophyceae; Pyramimonadales. The record is from RNAcentral.
CUAAAGUCCUGCAGACGGUCAAUAAGCAGCACAACAUAGCGUGGGACACAGUGUGCCGCAGUUUCUUCGUCGACUUCUCAGUGGCGGCUGA